This 407-nucleotide ribosomal RNA is filed under the name uncultured bacterium. RNAcentral describes it as "partial 16S ribosomal RNA". It matches the Rfam family "Bacterial small subunit ribosomal RNA", at positions 30 to 526 of the family's 1533-position model. The record is from RNAcentral.
AUUGAACGCUAGCGGGAUGCCUUACACAUGCAAGUCGAACGGAGUGGCGAACGGGUGAGUAAUGUAUAGGAACGUGCCCAGUAGCGGGGGAUAACUACGCGAAAGCGUAGCUAAUACCGCAUACUCUUUGAUCGGCCGCUAUCGGAUUAGCUAGUGGGGGGGGUAAAGGCCCACCAAGGCGACGAUCCGUAGCUGGUUUGAGAGGAUGAACAGCCACACUUGGACUGAGACACGUGCCAGACUCCUACGGGAGGCAGCAGUUGGGAAUUUUGGACAAUGGGGGAAACCCUGAUCCAGCCAUCCCGCGUGUGCGAUGAAGGCCUUCGGGUUGUAAAGCACUUUUAGCAGGAAAGCGGUACCUGCAGAAUAAGCACCGGCUAACUACGUGCCAGCAGCCGCGGUAAUUC